CCUACGGGAGGCAGCAGUGGGGAAUCUUGCGCAAUGGGCGAAAGCCUGACGCAGCAACGCCGCGUGGGGGACGAAGGCUCUCGGGUUGUAAACCCCUUUCAGGAGGGACGCGGUACCUCCAGAAGAAGCCCCGGCCAACUACGUGCCAGCAGCCGCGGUAACACGUAGGGGGCGAGCGUUGUCCGGAUUUAUUGGGCGUAAAGAGCUCGUAGGUGGCUCGGUAAGUCGGGUGUGAAAUUUCGAGGCUCAACCUCGAGACGCCACCUGAUACUGCUGGGCUAGAGUCCGGUAGGGGAGCGUGGAAUUCCUGGUGUAGCGGUGAAAUGCGCAGAUAUCAGGAGGAACACCAGCGGCGAAGGCGGCGCUCUGGGCCGGACUGACACUGAGGAGCGAAAGCGUGGGGAUCAAACAGGAUUAGAUACCCUUGUAGUC
RNAcentral lists this ribosomal RNA (432 nucleotides) under uncultured bacterium. RNAcentral describes it as "partial 16S ribosomal RNA". It matches the Rfam family "Bacterial small subunit ribosomal RNA", at positions 338 to 795 of the family's 1533-position model. The record is from RNAcentral.